GGCUAAACCAUGCACCGAAGCUGCGGCAGCGACACUAUGUGUUGUUGGGUAGGGGAGCGUUCUGUAAGCCUGCGAAGGUGUGCUGUGAGGCAUGCUGGAGGGAUCAGAAGUGCGAAUGCUGACAUAAGUAACGAUAAAGCGGGUGAAAAGCCCGCUCGCCGGAAGACCAAGGGUUCCUGUCCAACGUUAAUCGGGGCAGGGUGAGUCGACCCCUAAGGCGAGGCCGAAAGGCGUAGUCGAUGGGAAACAGGUUAAUAUUCCUGUACUUGGUGUUACUGCGAAGGGGGGACGGAGAAGGCUAUGUUAGCCGGGCGACGGUUGUCCCGGUUUAAGCAUGUAGGCUGGUUGUCCAGGCAAAUCCGGAUAAUCAAGGCUGAGGUGUGAUGACGAGGCACUACGGUGCUGAAGUAACAAAUGCCCUGCUUCCAGGAAAAGCCUCUAAGCAUCAGGUAACAUUAAAUCGUACCCCAAACCGACACAGGUGGUCAGGUAGAGAAUACCAAGGCGCUUGAGAGAACUCGGGUGAAGGAACUAGGCAAAAUGGUGCCGUAACUUCGGGAGAAGGCACGCUGG
This 573-nucleotide ribosomal RNA is filed under the name Klebsiella pneumoniae. RNAcentral's name for it is "partial 23S ribosomal RNA". It matches the Rfam family "Bacterial large subunit ribosomal RNA", at positions 1179 to 1754 of the family's 2925-position model. Lineage: Bacteria; Pseudomonadati; Pseudomonadota; Gammaproteobacteria; Enterobacterales; Enterobacteriaceae. The record is from RNAcentral.